UCUGAAAUAAGGGCUGAAGAUCUUGUCCGUGAAAAAAGCCUGCAGGAACAAGCAAAGAGAAAAACAAACCACUUUUCUGUAUCAUCGAGGUAAAAAUCAUAGGAAAGGUCGCCACAAGCCAAAUCAGUACUUGCAUUGAAAGGAAAGCUCUUUGUGGAAUCAAUGGGAGAUUUCCUCUUCUUUAGAGUAGGCAGGUAAGGUAGGAAUCUAAUUCUGACAGGACUGCCGGAUCAGGAGAGAACUCUGAUCAGUUCAUACCUGCCUUUAAAUCAGCCAAAGAACGGACCAACAAACUGAUACUUAUCCUAUUUUGGUAUGAUUCUACCUUCAGGCAUUACAAGCAAUGAAAUCACAUUGGAAUAGUCUCCCUGGGACAUGGUAACACAGAGCCAACCUUUAGGUAGCAUCGUGAGAUGGAUCCCAGGAACAUGAACGUCUGAUUCUAAUUCUGCAAACCAAGAGACAAAACCCCACAAGGAAUUGGGAUUGAAUUUAGCUCAGGAACUUUAAUAAAGUAUAGAGCAAGCCAGGAAAAAGACUUUUGGCUGACUGCAGUUUUGCACGGUUCCUGUUCUGACAUCUAUUGUAUUUUACUGUAGCAUCAGAUACAAACAACCUCAAAAGGUUUUGCAAGCAUAAAGGAGUUAGUCUUUAUAAUGCCA
Molecule: long non-coding RNA, 662 nt
Organism: Pantherophis guttatus
Lineage: Eukaryota; Metazoa; Chordata; Lepidosauria; Squamata; Colubridae
Source: RefSeq, a predicted model, not a curated record